This 400-nucleotide ribosomal RNA is filed under the name uncultured bacterium. Its description in RNAcentral is "bacterial SSU rRNA". It matches the Rfam family "Bacterial small subunit ribosomal RNA", at positions 355 to 770 of the family's 1533-position model. The record is from RNAcentral.
UCGAGGAUCUUCGUCAAUGGGCGAAAGCCUGAACGAGCGAUGCCGCGUGAGCGAUGAAGGCCUUCGGGUUGUAAAGCUCAAAAGAAGCGAGAAAGGGAAACUUGAUCAAGCUUCAGUAAGCUCGGGCUAAGUUCGUGCCAGCAGCCGCGGUAAGACGAACCGAGCGAACGUUGUUCGGAAUCACUGGGCUUAAAGGGCGCGUAGGCGGGCUUGCAAGUCCGUGGUGAAAUACCUCAGCUCAACUGAGGAACUGCCUCGGAUACUGCUAGUCUCGAGGGUGGUAGGGGUAUGCGGAACUAUCGGUGGAGCGGUGAAAUGCGUUGAUAUCGAUAGGAACUCCGGUGGCGAAGGCGGCAUACUGGACCACUUCUGACGCUGAGGCGCGAAAGCCAGGGGAGCA